RNAcentral lists this ribosomal RNA (497 nucleotides) under uncultured bacterium. RNAcentral's name for it is "partial 16S ribosomal RNA". It matches the Rfam family "Bacterial small subunit ribosomal RNA", at positions 28 to 507 of the family's 1533-position model. The record is from RNAcentral.
GAUGAACGCUGGCGGCGUGCCUAAUACAUGCAAGUCGAGCGAACAGACGAGGAGCUUGCUCCUCUGACGUUAGCGGCGGACGGGUGAGUAACACGUGGAUAACCUACCUAUCAGACUGGGAUAACUUCGGGAAACCGGAGCUAAUACCGGAUAAUAUAUUGAACCGCAUGGUUCAAUAGUGAAAGACGGUUUUGCUGUCUCUUAUAGAUGGAUCCGCGCCGCAUUAGCUAGUUGGUAAGGUAACGGCUUACCAAGGCAACGAUGCGUAGCCGACCUGAGAGGGUGAUCGGCCACACUGGAACUGAGACACGGUCCAGACUCCUACGGGAGGCAGCAGUAGGGUAUCUUCCGCAAUGGGCGAAAGCCUGACGGAGCAACGCCGCGUGAGUGAUGAAGGUCUUCGGAUCGUAAAACUCUGUUAUUAGGGAAGAACAAAUGUGUAAGUAACUAUGCACGUCUUGACGGUACCUAAUCAGAAAGCCACGGCUAACUACGUG